This is a non-coding RNA of Callithrix jacchus (white-tufted-ear marmoset), 972 nucleotides long. The record is from RefSeq and is a predicted model, not a curated record. Lineage: Eukaryota; Metazoa; Chordata; Mammalia; Primates; Cebidae.
GUGGUCGGGAUUUGGGCCCUGGCCCUGGGGAUCCUGGCCCGGCCCCAGUGGGCUCUUCCCGUCGUGCACUUGUAGGACGUCGGGGGCGCUGCCGCUUAGGCCGCUAAGGGUCUGCUGCGCAAUGUCAUGUGAUGACAGAGAUAAUUUUCGCACCUGACAAAGUAGCAGGAAUUUAAAAGGGUGAACGAAGAAGAGGAGACUCCAGUGGCUGAAGUUGGUAAAGCUGCUUUCGAGUCCUAGCUGCCUUCCACCUCCAUAUUCUGAAGGACUACCUUGCUCAUUAAAAAAUACAAGUUACCUGCGUGGUGGCUCAUGCCUGUAAUCCCAGAACUUUGGGAGGCUGAGUUUGCCUGUGUUGGAUGAGGUCAUGGAGCAACUUUGGAGAUAGAAGUCACAUGCUAGGACACUGGAGCUGAAAAAUAGAGCUUGGUGCCUGAAGACCAUGAAGUCCACAUAUCAAACCCUGAAUUGUCUCCUUCUUUCACACAAGAGAGAAAGUAUCUUGUGUUUAUGAUAUUCUUGUUUGGGUCCUUGGUAACAUGAACCCAAACUUUAUCCUAACUGUUACAAACUGAAAUAUCCACCAAUAGAAAAAUGGUUAAAUAAAUUGUGGUGCAUCUGUACUAUGGAAUAUUAUCCAGCAGCUACAAAGGAUGAGACCAAUAUAUAUGUUGUUCUUUAAAUAAUGGCUACCAAAAAAAAGGAUUCCCUCUUCUGCCUUUUUGAAUUCCAUUGAUGUGUUCAAGGUUUUCCUCAAACAUAACCUCCAUUAGGAAGCAUCCCCCAACUGUUGGGGCAGAGAUAUUUAAUUCAUUCAUUCAUUCACAAUGAAGAUUCUAUAUUACUUGAGAUCCUGCUCUAAUAGAAGCACUAUGUGCUUGCUGCUUGAGUGGAUAUAAAAUUAAUAAGAAAUUAUAUUUGUCUCUAGGGAUUUACUGUUUUAAUGGACAUAUAAAGAAAGUAGGCAUUUGU